This 253-nucleotide ribosomal RNA is filed under the name uncultured bacterium. RNAcentral describes it as "partial 16S ribosomal RNA". It matches the Rfam family "Bacterial small subunit ribosomal RNA", at positions 524 to 776 of the family's 1533-position model. The record is from RNAcentral.
UACGGAGGGUGCAAUCGUUGCUCGGAAUCAUUGGGCGUAAAGCGCACGUAGGCGGCCCGGUAAGUCGGAUGUGAAAGCCCUCGGCUCAACUGAGGAAGUGCAUUCGAAACUGCCAGGCUUGAAUAUGGAAGAGGGUCGCGGAAUUCCCGGUGUAGAGGUGAAAUUCGUAAAUAUCAGGUGGAACACCAGUGGCGAAGGCGGCUUUCUGGACGGUAACUGACGCUGAGACGCGAAAGCGUGGGGAGCAAACAGG